GGAGGUUGUAGGAUGUUAGUGCUUCAGAGGAAAACAACAACGAGCUUUUCUCUCCUCUCUGGGGAUCCUGGUCAGCUUCACAUCGGUGGCCCAGAAAUCAGUCUCAGCCCCUCCCAGUAUGGACCGCUCCUUGACAGCCGCCCUCUCUCCUAUAAAGGCAGAUGCAAGCUACGUUUGUGUGGGGAUGACACAGCACAAAGGCCCUUGCCAGAUGUGAGCCCCUUGAUAUUGGAUUUCCCAGUCUUCAGAACUGUAAGAAAUGAAUUUAUUUUCUUUGUAAAUUACCCAAUCUGUGGUAUUCUGUUUAGCAACACAAAGCAAACUAAGA
Molecule: long non-coding RNA, 328 nt
Filed under: Pan troglodytes (chimpanzee)
Lineage: Eukaryota; Metazoa; Chordata; Mammalia; Primates; Hominidae
Description: long non-coding RNA NONPTRT017115
Source: RNAcentral